RNAcentral lists this ribosomal RNA (492 nucleotides) under uncultured bacterium. Its description in RNAcentral is "partial 16S ribosomal RNA". It matches the Rfam family "Bacterial small subunit ribosomal RNA", at positions 29 to 507 of the family's 1533-position model. The record is from RNAcentral.
AGUGAACGCUGGCGGUAGGCCUAACACAUGCAAGUCGAACGGCAGCACAGUAAGAGCUUGCUCUUACGGGUGGCGAGUGGCGGACGGGUGAGGAAUACAUCGGAAUCUACUUUUUCGUGGGGGAUAACGUAGGGAAACUUACGCUAAUACCGCAUACGACCUACGGGUGAAAGCAGGGGAUCUUCGGACCUUGCGCGAUUGAAUGAGCCGAUGUCGGAUUAGCUAGUUGGCGGGGUAAAGGCCCACCAAGGCGACGAUCCGUAGCUGGUCUGAGAGGAUGAUCAGCCAAACUGGAAAUGAGAAACGGUCCAGACUCCUAAGGGAGGCCACAGUGGGGGAUAUUGGAAAAUGGGCGGAAGCCUGAUCCAGCCAUACCGCGUGGGUGAAGAAGGCCUUCGGGUUGUAAAGCCCUUUUGUUGGGAAAGAAAAGCAGCAGGUUAAUAACCCGCUGUUCUGACGGUACCCAAAGAAUAAGCAACGGCUAACUUCGUG